Molecule: ribosomal RNA, 443 nt
Filed under: Boana faber (blacksmith treefrog)
Lineage: Eukaryota; Metazoa; Chordata; Amphibia; Anura; Hylidae
Description: partial 16S ribosomal RNA
Rfam family: Bacterial large subunit ribosomal RNA
Source: RNAcentral
UUAAAUAAGGACUGGUAUGAAUGGGACCACGCCGUUUACACUGUCUCCUCUUUCUAAUCAGUGAAACUAAUCUCCCCGUGAAGAAGCUGGGAUUUUUUUAUAAGACGAGAAGACCCUAUGGAGCUUUAAACUACUAACACUUGCUGCCAUUCACUCCCCUUCCAGAAACUUUUUAUUAAGCAUAGCAUCAUGAUUUAUAGUUUUCGAUUGGGGUGAUCACGGAGUAAAAAACAACCUCCAUGCCGAAAGGGCCUCCUCCCCUGAGCCAAAAGCUACAACUUAAAGCACUAAAAAAAUUAACGUUUAUUGACCCAAUAAUUUUGAUCAACGAACCAAGUUACCCUAGGGAUAACAGCGCAAUCCACUUCAAGAGCUCCUAUCGACAAGUGGGUUUACGACCUCGAUGUUGGAUCAGGGUAUCCCAGUGGUGCAGCCGCUACUAA